RNAcentral lists this long non-coding RNA (287 nucleotides) under Helianthus annuus (common sunflower). RNAcentral's name for it is "sRNA HanXRQr2_Chr04g0145491". Lineage: Eukaryota; Viridiplantae; Streptophyta; Magnoliopsida; Asterales; Asteraceae. The record is from RNAcentral.
UCUGUCUCUCUCUCUCUCUCUAAACUCGGCUCACCCAAACACUCCCACCUUCAUUUUUUUCAGACUUCAAACUCAAGAAAUUCAUAUAAUCAUGGAGGUCCAUGGAUGAUUUAAAGCAUUUGCAAGACUUGGGGACACACUUGAAGCACUUUAUCAAGACUUGAAGCACUUGGAUCUUCAUUUUUUUUUUCUUUAUGUUAUCAUCACCUUCAUCUAGUUCAUCUCAAGCUAGUAACAAAAUGUGAGAGCCAAAUAGAAGCCAGCUAGACAGCAUUGAAGGCUUGGAA